CCUGUGGAGUGUUGUACCAAACGAAAGUAGCCUUUGGCCAAAUCGGACACGAUGAAGCAGGAA
This 63-nucleotide small RNA is filed under the name Paenibacillus stellifer. RNAcentral's name for it is "RAGATH-18 RNA". It matches the Rfam family "RAGATH-18 RNA". Rfam says of the family: Actinobacteria, Firmicutes, Fusobacteria, Thermotogae (1 example). Nearby to self-cleaving ribozyme genes Lineage: Bacteria; Bacillati; Bacillota; Bacilli; Caryophanales; Paenibacillaceae. The record is from Rfam by way of RNAcentral.